GAGAAGUUUUAUUGUUUUUUGUAGGCAUUAAAAAAAGAUACAAAAUGGGGAACAAAAAAAACAACAAAGUAACAAAAUUCACAAUUAAUAAAGACUUGGUAUAAAAAAAGAAAAGAAAAGAGAGUGUUUCAAAAGUCUAAAGGGGAAGAGUCCACCAGUAUGAAAGGUAGUGCAGGCAGACCGUUCAAGAGCAUUGUUUCUUAUUAUUAGUCCUACAACGGACUGGCAACCACUCAAAGAUGUACCCCACGUCCUGCCAAAUGACAGCUUCUUACUGUAAAACUUGCAAAGAAUUUGCAAGUGGGAAUUCCCUCAACUACAGUGCAAUCUACUAUUAAAAGAAAACCAGAAAGUCUCUGUGCAUAAGGGACACGGCUGAAAACAAGUACUGAAUGGCCAUGAUCUUCAGGCCCUCAUAGAGCUCUGCAUUAAAACAAUGCUGUAGUGGAAAUUACAGUAUGGGCUCUCGAAUAUAUCUGAGAACUACCCAUCUGUUUAUAAAUAAACCCAAGUUAAAUCUCUAUGCAAACAAAAAAGAAAAACCUAUGUAACAGACCAAAAAUGCUUGUAAUGUGUAAAUCUGUCAGCCUGUCAACAUUAAUCAGUACCUAUCAUCUUUUACAUGAGAAUUACUAUUUGAAGUGUCGCAUGGUCAUUACAAUGACAUCAAGUAAGAUAUAUCGCAGCACCACCAUUCAGAUAAAUGUACUAACUGAAUGUCUUGUUUACGUAGACUUAACUCAGAGCCCUUUAUACCUGGACCUGAUCCUGGCUGAGGCACAAACCUAUCAUUAGUUGUGUAUUACACUAGUUGGUACAUUAUUGGUCCUUAGUGUGUUUUCAUUUCAUUUCAAUCAACAAACCAGUGAACCAGUGAACAAAACAAACCAGAAAAUGAUUUCCACAGUAAGCCCAGCAGGAAACUUCAAUUCUGCUGACUUCAGGAUUCUUUCAAUACACAGCCAGCUGAGUUUGUGUGGAUUAAUGUGUAAACUGACUCAUUUAGCUUCAUAUUCUGUAUCAUGUCCUUUUUGUUUCUGAACUCCAUUCAAAAUUCAGACAUAUAUUUCAUCACACCCUUGUUGCUUUUGGGGCUUAAAGGAUGAGAACUUUGACUAAAAGACUGUUCGUCGGCCUCAGAUGGAGAGGAAAUCUGGCAUGGCUCCACAGCAUUCUCCAAGUCAGGUAGGAUGUCCGGCACGACAGCCUGUUCAACGAUAAAGACGAUCGGCUCCACGACGAGCAGCAGGGUCCAACCUA
This is a long non-coding RNA of Oreochromis aureus, 1260 nucleotides long. Lineage: Eukaryota; Metazoa; Chordata; Actinopteri; Cichliformes; Cichlidae. The record is from Ensembl.